UACAAUUUUUGACUCUUCGUCUUAUUCAAAAAUUAUUUAUGAUUGAUAUUUUAUUUUUAUUAGAUAAUAAAUCAUAAAUAGUAUUUUAAGUGUGACUAAUUUUUUUUAAUUUUCUAAAAAAAUUUUAAAUAAGACAGAUGGUUAAACGUUGGAUACGGAAACU
This 163-nucleotide microRNA precursor is filed under the name Oryza brachyantha (malo sina). Its description in RNAcentral is "MIR812 microRNA precursor family". It matches the Rfam family "MIR812 microRNA precursor family", at positions 27 to 189 of the family's 205-position model. Lineage: Eukaryota; Viridiplantae; Streptophyta; Magnoliopsida; Poales; Poaceae. The record is from Rfam by way of RNAcentral.